Molecule: long non-coding RNA, 1218 nt
Filed under: Volvox carteri
Lineage: Eukaryota; Viridiplantae; Chlorophyta; Chlorophyceae; Chlamydomonadales; Volvocaceae
Description: long non-coding RNA (VCAR_LNC000517)
Source: RNAcentral
UGCGCGAUGGCGACCCCAUGUACGACGUAAGUUACACUGAUGUACGCGUACUGUGGGGGUAUUGUGGGGGCGCGGGGGACGGGGGGCCCUGGCACAUGUGUAGAGACCGCGGCGUUGAGGGACAAGGCAGGCGGGUGCGGGUGUGGCACAAAAGAAGAUGUCAAAGUGCGACGAGAUCGGGUCCACCCCCUGAUACAGGUGGCCCCACAGGGAAAUGUACAUGGAACAUGGACGGCUGUGUAGGUACACCUCGCUUUACCAGAGUUAAGUCUCCCUCGCUAUUAUGAGGAUUUGCAAUACCUUCUUCCGCCUAUUCACGGUUCCAUGCUCAGGGUGUGGUCAAGUGGUUGGGUCGCCUACCCGGCGACGACGUGCCCUCCCUGCCCCUGGACUUCAACGCUGUGUGGCUGUCCCCCGGGCGCACCUUCCUAUCGCACUCCCUGGCGGGAGGGGAUGUGGCUUGGGAGGCGGUGGCCACGGACCCGGAUUUGCGGGAGCUGGGAUUCAGGCGGGUCGGGUCGGGAAAGGUUUAGGUUUAGUUCCCCUCGCCUCGCCUGUGCUCGCGUGUGUCUCGGUGUGUGUGUGUGUGUGUGUGUGUGUCAUAGGCGGUACAGGGUUUGGGGCCCUGGGGGUUCAGCGUGUGGGUCAUUCGGAUUUCCUACGGGGGAAGCAUUUAUAGGUUGCGGUCUGGUAAGUUUAGGACUGAAGUGAAGGAGGGGGAAGAGGGGAGAGGAGGGAUGGAGAUUCCAAGUGGUGCGGUUGCAGAGGGUUCGCGGUCUGCAAAGGAAAGAAAGAGCUAUGCAGCCGCCCUAGAGGUUGCGGGAACGGGGAGACGGUACAAGUUGUUUGAGGAGGGGCACGCGCUUGAGCCGGAAUUGCCGCGAUUCGCCUGAGCCACUGCACGGUAGUGCCCAUAGCCCAGCCUUACGUUAACGCGGCGUUCUGCAGCUCAAGGAGCGUACAUCUCCGGCGCAAUGGGGCGAACUGAGGCCGCCCUACUGCCAUGCAUUCUCAACAAAACGUGUACACGGGGUGCGUAAGCGCACGCCUGUGCGUGUUCCGAUUGCAUCGUCCGAUCCGUCGGACCUUAUCCAUGGCUUAUCCGUGUCCAGUCCCCCACUCUGAAUGUCUUAACCGCAGGUAUAACCUGAUCACCAAGCGAGUGGAGCGCCUUCCUCAGGGCGCACCGCGCACAGCAUCCCUUCGCAGUUCGAGUGU